CCUACGGGUGGCAGCAGUGAGGAAUAUUGGUCAAUGGGCGAGAGCCUGAACCAGCCAAGUCGCGUGCAGGAUGACGGAUCUAUGGUUUGUAAACUUCUUUUAUAUGGGAAUAAAGUGCGGAACGUGUUCCUUUUUGUAUGUACCGUAUGAAUAAGCAUCGGCUAACUCCGUGACAGCAGCCGCGGUAAUACGGAGGAUGCAAGCGUUAUCCGGAUUUAUUGGGUUUAAAGGGUGCGUAGGUGGUUCAAUAAGUCAGCGGUGAAAGUUUGUGGCUCAACCCUAAAAUUGCCGUUGAUACUGGUGGGCUAGAGUAUAUUUGCGGUAGGCGGAAUGCGUGGUGUAGCGGUGAAAUGCAUAGAGAUCACGCAGAACUCCGAUUGCGAAGGCAGUUUACCAAACUACGACUGACACUGAGGCACGAAAGCGUGGGGAGCAAACAGGAUUAGAUACCCUAGUAGUC
This 460-nucleotide ribosomal RNA is filed under the name uncultured bacterium. RNAcentral describes it as "partial 16S ribosomal RNA". It matches the Rfam family "Bacterial small subunit ribosomal RNA", at positions 338 to 795 of the family's 1533-position model. The record is from RNAcentral.